CGAAAUCGGUAGACGCUACGGACUUAAAAAAUCCGUCGACUUUAAAAAUCGUGAGGGGUUCAAGUCCCCUCUAUCCCC
Molecule: transfer RNA, 78 nt
Filed under: Lycium sp.
Lineage: Eukaryota; Viridiplantae; Streptophyta; Magnoliopsida; Solanales; Solanaceae
Description: partial tRNA-Leu
Source: RNAcentral